Molecule: non-coding RNA, 1256 nt
Organism: Myodes glareolus (Bank vole)
Lineage: Eukaryota; Metazoa; Chordata; Mammalia; Rodentia; Cricetidae
Source: the annotation of a RefSeq genome assembly
GAGAGAACUCAGUAGUUCUGGCAGGGCAAGGUCCCUGGGUGGGGCUCACUUGUUGCAGGAGCAGGAACAUUUCAACAGCCAUCCUGACACCACAGUCCAGGGUUUGUGUACUUGCGUCUGUCUCCAGCAUCCAGACAAGUACCAUGAGGAGGCUGCUGUCCUCUUUGCUGGGGCUGCUGUGCAUCCAGAUUUGCUGGGUGAAUGGGCAGCAAGUGAAGCAGAGUCCUGUGUCCUUGGUUUUGCAGGAGGGAGAGCGUGCAGAGCUGCAGUGCAACUUUUCCACCAUGACAACCGAAGUGCAUUGGUUUUAUCAAAGCCCUGGGGGAUACCUCAUCAGCCUGUUUUACAAUCCUUCUAGAACAAAGCAGAGUGGAAGACUGAAGUCCACAACAGUCCCUCAGGAACGCAUCAGCUCUUUGUACAUUUUCUCCUCUCAGAUCACAAACUCAGGCACUUAUUUCUGUGCUGUGGAUCCACAGUGCUCCCCACACACCUGCAGCCAGUACACAAACCUUCAGCUGGGUGGGUGUGGCCUUCCCCUGUUAUAAGACAUCAGAAUUCCACAAGUGAACAUCUGCUUGAUUUAAUGUCCCUUUUUGGUACAGGCAGAGUUUUUAGAUCUAAGAUCAGGUAAGCUUUUGGCCAUGUAAGUUAAGGACUUAGGUCUUUAAAUUCUCAAUAUAUACUCCCUUGUGAUGCAGAAAUGAUCAUCUAGGAACUAACAGAGAAGCUGAUGGGACAACUGAACCAAUGUCAGGUCACCUGCUGUGGACAGGAUCACAGUUUUUGAGGAGAAAACAAUGUGCAACAACAGCAAGAACAUCAAGUCAUGGAAGAUACAGAAUGUACAGAGAGCUGGAUGUCCUAGCUUCUUUUCUAUUGCUGUUCUAAAACUCUCUGAGAAAAAGCAACUUAGAAGUUGAAAAGAUUUAUUUAGCUUUUACUCUCAGGCCAUAGUCCAUCAUUAGUGGUAAUCAAGGUGGGAACUCAAACAGGAGAUUCAAACAGAAACCCUGGGGAAACUCUAUUGCUAGUUCACUCACAGGCUUACACUUAACUAGCUUCCUAAUAUGACCCAGGCCACUUUCGCACAGAAUGGUGCCACCCACAAUGGGCAGGUCUCCAUUCAAUUCAUCAGUUAAAAAAGUGGUGCUUGGUGUUUUAGUUCAGUUUUAUUGAAUUUAUAGAAGAUGGUAAGGAUAUUGAAGGUAUUAAAUCUUUUAAUUAUGUAUCUUUAAGUUACCUUUUCAUGUAUU